This 656-nucleotide ribosomal RNA is filed under the name uncultured archaeon. RNAcentral's name for it is "bacterial SSU rRNA". It matches the Rfam family "Archaeal small subunit ribosomal RNA", at positions 175 to 817 of the family's 1478-position model. The record is from RNAcentral.
AUGAGUCUUUGCCCAAAAGGUGUCGGAUCAUGCUUUCGGCAUCGCUAAGGAUGGGGCCGCGACCGAUCAGGUUGUUGGUGAGGUAAUGGCCCACCAAGCCUAUAACCGGUGCGGGCCGUGAGAGCGGGAGCCCGGAGAUGGGCACUGAGACAAGGGCCCAGGUCCUACGGGGCGCAGCAGUCGCGAAACCUUUGCAAUACACGAAAGUGUGACAGGGUCAUCCCGAGUGCCGACCGCUGAGGUUGGCUUUUACCCAGUCUAGAAAGCUGGGGGAAUAAGGAGAGGGCAAGUCUGGUGUCAGCCGCCGCGGUAAUACCAGCUCUCCGAGUGGUGUGGACGUUUAUUGGGCCUAAAGCAUCCGUAGCUGGCUGAACAAGUCCCCUGUUAAACCCACCGAUUUAAUCGUUGGUCUGCGGGGGAUACUGCUCGGCUAGGGGACGAGAGAGGCAGACGGUAUUCCCGGGGUAGGGGUGAAAUCCUAUAAUCCCGAGAAGACCACCAGUGGCGAAGGCUGUCUGCUAGAACGCGCCCGACGGUGAGGGAUGAAAGCUGGGGGAGCGAACCGGAUUAGAUACCCGGGUAGUCCCAGCUGUAAACGAUGCAGACUAGGUGUUUGGACGGCCACGUGCCGUUCUAGUGCCGCAGGGAAGCUGUUA